GACCGGUUAGCUCUGUCGGUUAGAGCGUGAUGUUGAUAACACCAAGGUCGUGGGUUCAAUCCCUGCUCAGUCA
This is a transfer RNA of Apaloderma vittatum (bar-tailed trogon), 73 nucleotides long. It matches the Rfam family "tRNA". Rfam says of the family: Transfer RNA (tRNA) molecules are approximately 80 nucleotides in length. Lineage: Eukaryota; Metazoa; Chordata; Aves; Trogoniformes; Trogonidae. The record is from Rfam.